GGUUAAGCGACUAAGCGUACACGGUGGAUGCCCUGGCAGUCAGAGGCGAUGAAGGGCGUGCUAAUCUGCGAUAAGCGCCGGUAAGGUGAUAUGAACCGUUAUAACCGGCGAUACCCGAAUGGGGAAACCCAGUGUGAUUCGUCACACUAUCAUUAACUGAAUCCAUAGGUUAAUGAGGCGAACCGGGGG
This 189-nucleotide ribosomal RNA is filed under the name Salmonella enterica. Its description in RNAcentral is "partial 23S ribosomal RNA". It matches the Rfam family "Bacterial large subunit ribosomal RNA", at positions 1 to 190 of the family's 2925-position model. The record is from RNAcentral. Lineage: Bacteria; Pseudomonadati; Pseudomonadota; Gammaproteobacteria; Enterobacterales; Enterobacteriaceae.